GAAGGAUCCCAGUUUGAUUCUCGCCAAUAUGAUGCUAAAAUGAAUGAGAUUCUUUCGGCAGAAGGCCAGGAAUUCUUUACCUCAUAUGAUGAAGUAUAUGAAAGUUUUGAUUCGAUGGGGCUGCAAGAAAAUCUCCUUAGAGGCAUUUAUGCCUAUGGUUUUGAGAAACCAUCUGCAAUUCAGCAAAGAGGUAUUGUUCCCUUCUGCAAAGGCCUUGAUGUGAUUCAGCAGGCUCAGUCUGGAACUGGGA
Molecule: unclassified non-coding RNA, 250 nt
Filed under: Hevea brasiliensis (rubber tree)
Lineage: Eukaryota; Viridiplantae; Streptophyta; Magnoliopsida; Malpighiales; Euphorbiaceae
Source: RNAcentral